This is a long non-coding RNA of Elgaria multicarinata webbii, 584 nucleotides long. RefSeq lists it as uncharacterized. The transcript is spliced from 3 exons. NCBI's taxonomy places the organism in Eukaryota, Metazoa, Chordata, Lepidosauria, Squamata, Anguidae. The record is from RefSeq and is a predicted model, not a curated record.
ACGGCUUAAGGGCAGCGGCAGGGCAAGCCGUUAAGUCUCUCCCACAGGCACUGCCAGACGCUCUUGGUACAGGUGGAGGAAGGACUGGGACGCAGACUCACUAACCUUCGGCCCGGAGACUGCAAUUUAAGCUUGGAAGAGGAUCUGGACUUGAACCCGGGCCUCCCCAACUAAAUCCUUCUAAAUGAGCUGCACAAAAAGGGAGCCUAUCCAAUCACGAAGCAGAACAGUGUCUGUGAGGAAUCGUCAUGUGCCAACAUGCUUGCACUUCGUGGAAGUUCUGUAGAAGUUCCAACAUGAUGGCACCAACGUUGGGCUAGGCUGCUCCUAAAGGAAGGACAUCCCAUGACAUGUCAAUGUCACCUGGAAACAGAAACCUGCUCUAGGCUCUAUGGGGCUGAGAGCCAGGAUUCAUGCCACCCAGGAAGUUUCAGGAACAGUUGUAGCACAGCAUAGAGCUGAGAAACAUCCCACUGCAAGCUUGCAAACCCAUCGCUUGGGCGUGCCUCAAGUGGCUCUUUGGAUCACAGCCACAGUAUAUACACUUUUCUUUCAGCUCAUUGACCAGGAUACCUUGCGUAACA